UCUCCGUUGGUGAACCAGCGGAGGGAUCAUUACCGAGUUUACAACUCCCAAACCCCUGUGAACAUACCAUUUGUUGCCUCGGCGGUGCCUGCUUCGGCAGCCCGCCAGAGCACCCAAACCCUUGAUUUGAUACAGAACCUUCUGAGUAAAUGAUUAAAUAAAUCAAAACUUUCAACAACGGAUCUCUUGGUUCUG
RNAcentral lists this unclassified non-coding RNA (195 nucleotides) under plant metagenome. Its description in RNAcentral is "partial contains small subunit ribosomal RNA, internal transcribed spacer 1, and 5.8S ribosomal RNA". The record is from RNAcentral.